This 262-nucleotide ribosomal RNA is filed under the name uncultured archaeon. Its description in RNAcentral is "partial 16S ribosomal RNA". It matches the Rfam family "Archaeal small subunit ribosomal RNA", at positions 748 to 1009 of the family's 1478-position model. The record is from RNAcentral.
UAGCCGUAAACGAUACUCGCUAGGUGUCGGCCACGGUGCCACCGUUGUCGGUGCCGUAGGGAAGCCGUGAAGCGAGCCACCUGGGAAGUACGGCCGCAAGGCUGAAACUUAAAGGAAUUGGCGGGGGGAGCACCACAACGGGUGGAGCUUGCGGUUUAAUUGGAUUCAACGCCGGAAAUCUUACCGGGACCGACAGCAACAUGAAGGCCAGGCUGAAGACUUUGCCGGAUUAGCUGAGAGGUGGUGCAUGGCGUAGUCGUGU